RNAcentral lists this ribosomal RNA (106 nucleotides) under uncultured bacterium. RNAcentral's name for it is "partial 16S ribosomal RNA". It matches the Rfam family "Bacterial small subunit ribosomal RNA", at positions 356 to 460 of the family's 1533-position model. The record is from RNAcentral.
GAGGAAUAUUGGACAAUGGAGGCAACUCUGAUCCAGCCAUGCCGCGUGCAGGAAGACUGCCCUAUGGGUUGUAAACUGCUUUUAUAUAGGAAAAAACCUUCUCACG